UACGGGGGGAGCAAGCGUUGUUCGGAUUUACUGGGCGUAAAGAGCUUGUAGGCGGUUUGUCGCGUCUGCUGUGAAAUUUCGGGGCUCAACCCCGAACUUGCAGUGGGUACGGGCAGACUAGAGUGUGGUAGGGGAGACUGGAAUUCCUGGUGUAGCGGUGAAAUGCGCAGAUAUCAGGAGGAACACCGAUGGCGAAGGCAGGUCUCUGGGCCACUACUGACGCUGAGAAGCGAAAGCAUGGGGAGCGAACAGG
This 253-nucleotide ribosomal RNA is filed under the name uncultured bacterium. Its description in RNAcentral is "partial 16S ribosomal RNA". It matches the Rfam family "Bacterial small subunit ribosomal RNA", at positions 524 to 776 of the family's 1533-position model. The record is from RNAcentral.